Monodelphis domestica (gray short-tailed opossum) is the source of this 2438-nucleotide non-coding RNA. NCBI's taxonomy places the organism in Eukaryota, Metazoa, Chordata, Mammalia, Didelphimorphia, Didelphidae. The record is from RefSeq and is a predicted model, not a curated record.
CUGGAGAAGCAGCGGAGGAGCAAUGCAGGACAGAUAGACCUGGUUGCUCCUUAUUUUAAAAUACUCCUCUUUCACUUAAAACCAACUUCCUCCAAGUACUUGCCUGGCACACAACAGGCACUCACUACAUGUGCUUGAAGCCUGGAGACGGACCACGUGCCAGGGAGAUGAAGACAAAAUGACCCACGUCCUGCCCGUAAGAAACUUCCAUGGGCCGGAGGAGACACCAAAGACACAGAAGAAAGGAAGGAUGGCCACGGAAGCUGCAAAGUCAUAUUAGGGGCUGAAGAGUGCUAACAAUGAGGAGGUUCCCACAAGAUGAGGGCCAUCUUCUUGUGUAAGGCUACUGAGCAUCACUGUUCCCAAUUCUCCCUCCCAUCCCUGAAGUUUAAAUGAACAACACCUACACUUGGGCAUAAAAAUUCCCAAACCUCUAGUCAACAGGAAAAGAAAAAUGAUAGGUUUGACCUCCUUCAACAUUAUGGGCCUUGGAAAGUUCCCACCCAGACUUCUGUUAGAGUUUCUAGUGAAGUGAUACAAACUGAUAAUAACACUUCAUUAUUCCAGUCACUCGGGGAAAACGGGGACCCUCCAUCAGCUACUGUCCAAACCUUUGUUUGGGGAUCCCACCUGCCCUUCCCCCACCACCCCCAACCAGGCACCCAAGCAGGGCAUGAGGUCCAGUUGCCUGGAUCAUCUGCAAAUAGACAUUGCCAGUCACACUUCCUUCGGGACCCAGGAAGAACACAGAUCCCACAAAACCUAGCAGCGAAAACAGAACAAGAGAUCUACGGGGACUAAACAAGGAAGAUGACAGGAGGGACAUUCAUCUGAAAAACUCUGUUAAAAAUGCACUGGUCUCAUUAAUAAUUUUAAACUUCUUCUUUGAAUUGUGGAAUAUUUGAGGAUUUCAUCCAUAUUUGCAUUCUACACUCACUAUUCUUAGCAUUUUUGUCUGGGUGAUGAAGGUAUUUAAACCUUUUACAAAUAAAAACUAAGGCUGACCAAAAUACACUAUGAAGCACGAUGUAUUUUUCAUUAAAGAACUCAUUUUCCCGGGGGCUCAGAAGACCUAGGAAUUCCUAAUAACCAACAUCUCCCUUCCUAAAUCUACAUAGAAAAUGGCGGGAAGGAGAGCCCAGAUUCGUGUAUUAUAACAGUAAGGGUAAAAGGACACUUGACAAACAGACUUUGAAAGUUGGUAAAAGCAGCUCAUUUCCCCAAAGGCCAGUGAGGUAAUCGUGUAACAGGGCACAAUGGAGAGGGAAGCCAUAAGCUCUCCUUAGAAAGGUUCAAUCUCCUCCCCGGGACCCCCUCCCCCAGGAGCCAAAUUGAAAAUCUACCCUUCAGUCUUAAAACAAAGUUCCCAAUGGCACCCCAAAAUCUCGUGGGGAAAACUCUUGUCACCUCUGGGCUCUGACUGCUCCCAUGGUGACAUAACAAAUGCCUUUAGAGCGGAAAGUGAAGCUGGCCUGUGUAUUCAGGUGCUUUUCCUGCACAUCUGAUUAUUUUUACUACUGCCACUAAGAUUUCACUGAUUUAAGACCCAGGGGCCUCCCACCACAUGGCAGCCCCCUGUGAAGAAUAACACCAUUAACAUCUAAAGAGAAGCAGACACACUCAAGAGAACCCUCGUCAGGGCACACCAAGACCAGAAAUAUGUUUUCCACUCGGACGCCAAUAUAUCUGUCCAAGGACAGGCACCCAAGCAAAUGGCAUCGUCUGAAUAAAAACAGCAAAAAGUGAGACUUACCUGUUCCAAGGUCCAGAGAAGAAAUGAGUGGAAACAUGGAAAAAAAGAGAAAAAAGGAACCAUUAGACUAAAAGUACAUUGGCGUAAUAGAACUAGCAAACAUUUUGGAUUCGGGGAGUAGUUCUCUCUUAACAACCAGAGCAAGAAGGGUGUGAGUUCCCAUUCUCUAACACCACCGAGCCCAUCCACCUUAUUAGCCAAUAAAGCCAAUGCGGGAUCAAUGGUAAUCAAGCACGCCAUUUUUUAGAAAGGAUGAAGUGUGCACAUAUGGUGAUUGUCUCCGAGUUCUAUUGGGGGUAAAUGUCAUCAUGCAAAGUCCAUUCUGUCAGAAGGCUUCAGGGGAACCGAGUCCUAGAUAGCUCACCCCACGAGGACAAAGAACUCCCUUUAAUAGUGAUUCUUUUCAACAGACUCUUGGCUCUCUUCAAACCAGCUACUUAUGGCUACUAAGUAAAUAAAAUGAUUUCUCCAAGCACUGUGACUUCCCAGGUCUCAUUCUGUCUCCUCAGAGCUCACGAAAACUGAACUUUCAUGCUACUGAAGUACUAAAGGCAACUGGGGGAAAAGGAAAGCCAGUGCCCAGCGUGCCCCCCGAAAGCGUGAAGGAAGCACCUGGAAUAAGCCAGGCUUGGCAGUUCUUCCACUGAAUCCCCUUUAGUGGGUAAUAAACAGCUCUGUUUGUAAU